Molecule: non-coding RNA, 469 nt
Organism: Girardinichthys multiradiatus
Lineage: Eukaryota; Metazoa; Chordata; Actinopteri; Cyprinodontiformes; Goodeidae
Source: the annotation of a RefSeq genome assembly
CAUGUUUUGUGCAGCCCUGUUCCUGUUCCUAGCAGCUGCCGGUAUGAAAUGUGAACAGCUGACACAGCCAGCUUCUGUGACUGUGCAGCCUGGUCAGCCUCUAGCCAUCAGAUGUCAGGUUUCUUAUUCUGUCACCGGCUACUGGACCCACUGGAUCAGACACUCUGCAGAAAAAGGACUGGAGUGGAUUGGUCAGGUAGCUGGAUCUACAACAUACUACAAAGAUUCACUAAGAAAUAAAUUUAGCAUUUCUACAGAUUCUUCCAGCAGCACAGUGACUCUGACUGGGCAGAAUGUGCAGCCUAAAGAUAAUGCAGUGUAUUACUGUGCCAGAGAGCCACAGUGGCACAAACAAGCUGCAGAGCUGUACAAAAACACCCAGAUGGUUACCUGUCAACCAGAGGAGGCGCUCUUUGUGGGAUUAAAAAAACAGAUUUGUCAGACACACUGGAGAAUAAAACUCAAAUGA